Non-coding RNA from Caerostris darwini, 89 nucleotides. The record is from the annotation of a GenBank genome assembly. Lineage: Eukaryota; Metazoa; Arthropoda; Arachnida; Araneae; Araneidae.
UCCGGUUCUCGUUAGAUCACCGAAGUCAAGCAUCAUUGGGCUCGGUCAGUACUUGGGUGGGUGACCACCUGGGAACACCGCGUGCCGUU